UACAAACAAACAACAUGUGAUAAAAAGAUCCGGGAAUCGGUUGGCGAUUUUGCAAUUACUUUGUAUAUAAGAACGAAUGUAACUGGAAAUUAGCUAAUUUCAAAAACAUACAACAUGAGGAGGUGUAUCAUACUUUUGUUAAUCGUGUGCCUUGUUGCGUCGUCAAGCGCAGGUUUUGGCGGCACAGCCGACGAAGGGGAGAUUUGUGGAGGAUUUGCCGCAGUCAGAUGUAGAAGUGGGCUGACGUGUGUUUAUUCAAUGGGGACAGCUGGAAUUUGUCGGAGACGAAGUUGGCCGUGGAGUAUGUAGAGUGAAUAGGUUCAUUGGCGACAGAUGCCUUGUACCCCUCACCACAUUGUGUGAUACGUUUCCUAAAUUGAGUGUACUAAAAUAUUAAUUUAUUUUAAUAAAUAUUUUCUUAUCGAUAAAAGUGUGUUGCAUUGUCCUUA
Mya arenaria is the source of this 449-nucleotide long non-coding RNA. RefSeq lists it as uncharacterized. The transcript has 3 exons. The record is from RefSeq and is a predicted model, not a curated record. Lineage: Eukaryota; Metazoa; Mollusca; Bivalvia; Myida; Myidae.